GCGGGUUCAAAACGAUAAUUUCAGCCACAGACCAAAUUAUUUGGCCAGGAGCAUCAGCAGAAAUCGAUUUGUACGUAGAUAAUGCAGUUUCCAGCUCAUUUAUACCUGCAGUAUCAGAUUAAUGUUAACAAGUUGAGAGUUUAGGAUAAGGUAACUGAAACUUUCAUAUAGUAGGGAAGGAGAGAUAUAUGUGGAUCACCUAAUAAAAAAAAAAGAGAACGACAACAAUAUUAAUAGUAAAAGAGAAUCUCUACCAAGGGCCAGCAAAAGUUAGAGCUACUACUUACAAGAUGCUGCAGGUUUCUCUUCAUAUCCACAAAAUCAGCCACCAACACACAGUACAUUCAAAUAAAGAGGAAAUAUAGUCAGAGGCACAAAAAGAUUAAUAACAAAAUUAUGAUUAUCAAAUGUUA
This 413-nucleotide long non-coding RNA is filed under the name Lathyrus oleraceus (garden pea). Its description in RNAcentral is "Pisum sativum (pea) long non-coding RNA (PSAT_LNC039913)". Lineage: Eukaryota; Viridiplantae; Streptophyta; Magnoliopsida; Fabales; Fabaceae. The record is from RNAcentral.